This 763-nucleotide ribosomal RNA is filed under the name uncultured Streptococcus sp. RNAcentral describes it as "bacterial SSU rRNA". It matches the Rfam family "Bacterial small subunit ribosomal RNA", at positions 28 to 776 of the family's 1533-position model. The record is from RNAcentral. Lineage: Bacteria; Bacillati; Bacillota; Bacilli; Lactobacillales; Streptococcaceae.
GACGAACGCUGGCGGCGUGCCUAAUACAUGCAAGUAGAACGCUGAAGGGAGAGCUUGCUCUUCUGGAUGAGUUGCGAACGGGUGAGUAACGCGUAGGUAACCUGCCUGGUAGCGGGGGAUAACUAUUGGAAACGAUAGCUAAUACCGCAUAACAUUGACUAUUGCAUGAUAGUCAAUUGAAAGGUGCAAAUGCACCACUACCAGAUGGACCUGCGUUGUAUUAGCUAGUUGGUGGGGUAACGGCUCACCAAGGCGACGAUACAUAGCCGACCUGAGAGGGUGAUCGGCCACACUGGGACUGAGACACGGCCCAGACUCCUACGGGAGGCAGCAGUAGGGAAUCUUCGGCAAUGGACGGAAGUCUGACCGAGCAACGCCGCGUGAGUGAAGAAGGUUUUCGGAUCGUAAAGCUCUGUUGUAAGAGAAGAACGAGUGUGAGAGUGGAAAGUUCACACUGUGACAGUAUCUUACCAGAAAGGGACGGCUAACUACGUGCCAGCAGCCGCGGUAAUACGUAGGUCCCGAGCGUUGUCCGGAUUUAUUGGGCGUAAAGCGAGCGCAGGCGGUUAGAUAAGUCUGAAGUUAAAGGCUGUGGCUUAACCAUAGUACGCUUUGGAAACUGUUUAACUUGAGUGCAGAAGGGGAGAGUGGAAUUCCAUGUGUAGCGGUGAAAUGCGUAGAUAUAUGGAGGAACACCGGUGGCGAAAGCGGCUCUCUGGUCUGUAACUGACGCUGAGGCUCGAAAGCGUGGGGAGCAAACAGG